UUUUGGGGAAUGAAAACAUCGUGACGAAACAGGAUUAAACUGAACAAGUUUACUCUCUGGGUUGGAAGGUCAGAUGGCAGUCGCUUUCGUAAAAACUAGUGCCUACGCCAAUUCUCGGGAUUAGUUGCCAAGCGGACCCCAGGCUCCCAUGAGCCGUGGCAAAAUGCCGGGAUAACGCGAGGAAGA
Long non-coding RNA from Cydia splendana, 186 nucleotides. RefSeq lists it as uncharacterized. Lineage: Eukaryota; Metazoa; Arthropoda; Insecta; Lepidoptera; Tortricidae. The record is from RefSeq and is a predicted model, not a curated record. The transcript has 2 exons.